RNAcentral lists this long non-coding RNA (998 nucleotides) under Carica papaya (papaya). Its description in RNAcentral is "long non-coding RNA (CPAP_LNC011806)". Lineage: Eukaryota; Viridiplantae; Streptophyta; Magnoliopsida; Brassicales; Caricaceae. The record is from RNAcentral.
UUAGGAGAAUGAUUAAAGCCAUGCCGAAGAACAACAUCAUCAGAAUCGACAAAGUGAGUAUUGAUUUAAGUAAACGACGCCAUGGAAAUUUAUUCAAGCACUGAUCACGACAAUUAUGGCGCAAGAAAUUACAGGUACAACCAUUGUCUUCAUCCAAAUCAUAUUCCCGUUUCAGUAAUUCUUCAUCCAUAUCGCUAAUACUUUGAUACCUCAUUAUACAGCUUAAUUACUGAAGAUUAAUCACGAAGAUAUUGUUAAAGAGAAGAAUUAAAACUCUUUCUCGCUUACUAACAAAGUUACUUAUUUGGAUUUCUUCUUGCAUUUUGUGUUGGUGCGUAUAUAUACUACAGAAUUCAUCUCAUCCUUUUCAAAUUAGAUGUCCGAACCAGAUCACAAUUAGAAUUCCUAAUACAUUAAUAUUAACUCGGUUUUUCCUUAAUUCAUCCGUAAUCACUAAAUAAAUCUUGAAUGUUUACUCGUUUUUAAACUUUGAAUUUCCCUUUUACAAAAAUUCUUGAAUACAUGUUAUCGCAUUUAAUUAAAAAUAAUUUUAAAAAAUGAACAGAAAUUAAUUUCUAAUUUUACUUUUAUAUAAAAAGUACUUGUUAAAAAACUGAUUGGUGGAAAAAAAAAAAACAAUUAACUUCAACUUAUAUAUUAGGUUUAGGGUUCCUUGAAUUCCUUCAUCUCAUCAUAGAUAUACAAAAACUCACAAAAAUAUUUUAAUUGCUAAGAUUGCAAGAUUAAUUCGUUUCUCUUUCUUCCCCUGCUCUCAUAUUUUCAGUCCAUGGAGAUGGAUAAAUGUAAGAGUUCAUUACAUGAUUUGUCAUGUCCAAACUUUGGAUAACCCAAUUUAAGUCAUGGACAAACUCAAAGAGAGCUAAGCACAGCCCACAAAGGAUAACACAGCCCACCAUUGCUUCCUGCCUAGAUAUACUCUCAUGAUGAAUAUGAUCAUCUUUGAUAAGAAUAAGAAUAUGAAUAGGGAAAAAUCGCAG